CGUGCAUGUGGGGGGCUUCUGCUCCGCUCCCUCCUGUUCCGGGGUCCAGCGGGCGGCUCCCCAGGCAGGCUCUGCACUUACCCGCAGCCCAGUGAUGCAGGGUCGGAGGGGUGUUCGGCAGUGGGAAAGGGCGUAGGGCAGAUGCCGGGCUGACUCUUCCUUUUGCCAGAGGAAAUCCCCUCUGCCCCCUAGUCCUCCCCCUACCAAGGCUCCCAUCACUCAUCACGGCCUCUCCCUACAGACCAGAAUCUGAGGGAGAGCAGAUUCGGCCUUGAGAACGCCUACAACAACUUCCGGCCCACCCUGGAGACUGUUGACUCUGGCACAGAGCUCCACAUCCAGAGGCCGGAGAUGGUAGCAUCCACUGUGUGAGCCAACGGGGGCCUCCCACCCUCAUCUAGCUCUGUUCAGGAGAGCUGCAAACACAGAGCCCACCACAAGCCUCCGGGGCGGGUCAAGAGGAGACCGAAGUCAGGCCCUGAAGCCGGUCCUGCUCUGAGCUGACAGACUUGGCCUGUGCUCCUGCUGGGGAAGGCUGGGGGCUGUAAGCCUCUCCAUCCGGGAGCUUCCAGACUCCCAGAAGCCUCGGCACCCCUGUCUCCUCCUGGGUGGCUCCCCACUCUGGAAUUUCCCUACCAAUAAAAGCAAAUCUUAAAGCUCAAAA
RNAcentral lists this small RNA (664 nucleotides) under Pan troglodytes (chimpanzee). Its description in RNAcentral is "retained intron". Lineage: Eukaryota; Metazoa; Chordata; Mammalia; Primates; Hominidae. The record is from RNAcentral.